UACGGGGGGGGCAAGCGUUGUUCGGAAUUACUGGGCGUAAAGGGCUUGUAGGUGGCCAACUAAGUCAGACGUGAAAUCCCCCGGCUUAACCGGGGAACUGCGUCUGAUACUGGAUGGCUAGAGAUUGGGAGAGGGACGCGGAAUUCCAGGUGUAGCGGUGAAAUGCGUAGAUAUCUGGAGGAACACCGGUGGCGAAGGCGGCGUCCUGGACCAACACUGACACUGAAAAGCGAAAGCCAGGGGAGCAAACGGG
RNAcentral lists this ribosomal RNA (253 nucleotides) under uncultured bacterium. RNAcentral describes it as "partial 16S ribosomal RNA". It matches the Rfam family "Bacterial small subunit ribosomal RNA", at positions 524 to 776 of the family's 1533-position model. The record is from RNAcentral.